RNAcentral lists this long non-coding RNA (249 nucleotides) under Elaeis guineensis (African oil palm). RNAcentral's name for it is "long non-coding RNA (EGUI_LNC011828)". The record is from RNAcentral. Lineage: Eukaryota; Viridiplantae; Streptophyta; Magnoliopsida; Arecales; Arecaceae.
AGCGCAAAUUAAGCCUCCAUCAUGGUGGGAGUACAAAUUAAGUCCCCACGAUAGUGAGAGUGUAGAUUAAGCCUCCACCUAUUUAAUGAUAGUACGAAUUAAGACUCCAUAGUGAGAGUGCAGAUUAAGCCCCUACCUAUUCAAUGAGAGUACAGAUUAAGCUCCCAUGAUAGUGGGAGUGCAGAUGAAGCCCCCACCAUGAUGAGUGCAGAUGAAGCCCCCACCACGGUGUGAGUGCAAAUAAAGACC